GGCAGACGGGUGAGUAACAUGUAGGUAUCUGCCCUUUGGCCUGGAAUAACACGAGGAAACUUGUGCUAAUACCGGAUAAGUCUUUACGGAGAAAGCUUUAUGCACCAUUGGAUGAGCCUGCACUUGAUUAGUUUGUUGGUGGGGUAAUGGCCUACCAAGACUUUGAUCAAUAGCUGAUUUGAGAGGAUGAUCAGCCACAUUGGGACUGAGACACGGCCCAAACUCCUACGGGAGGCAGCAGUGGGGAAUCUUGCACAAUGGAGGAAACUCUGAUGCAGCGAUGCCGCGUGAGUGAAGAAGGCCUUUGGGUUGUAAAGCUCUUUCGUCGGGGAAGAAAAUGACUGUACCCGAAUAAGAAGGUCCGGCUAACUUCGUGCCAGCAGCCGCGGUAAUACGAAGGGACCUAGCGUAGUUCGGAAUUACUGGGCCUAAAGAGUUCGUAGGUGGUUGAAAAAGUUGGUGGUGAAAUCCCAGAGCUUAACUCUGGAACUGCCAUCAAAACUUUUCAGCUAGAGUUCGAUAGGGGAAAGCAGAAUUUCUAGUGUAGAGGUGAAAUUCGUAGAUAUUAGAAAGAAUACCAAUUGCGAAGGCAGCUUUCUGGAUCAUUACUGACACUGAGGAACGAAAGCAUGGGUAGCGAAGAGGAUUAGAUACCCUCGUAGUCCAUGCCGUAAACGAUGUGUGUUAGACGUCGGAAAUUUAUUUUCAGUGUCGCAGCGAAAGCGAUAAACACAC
Molecule: ribosomal RNA, 735 nt
Filed under: uncultured marine bacterium
Lineage: Bacteria
Description: bacterial SSU rRNA
Rfam family: Bacterial small subunit ribosomal RNA
Source: RNAcentral